Molecule: transfer RNA, 86 nt
Filed under: Candidatus Omnitrophota bacterium
Lineage: Bacteria; Pseudomonadati; Candidatus Omnitrophota
Description: tRNA-Ser
Rfam family: tRNA
About the family: Transfer RNA (tRNA) molecules are approximately 80 nucleotides in length. Their secondary structure includes four short double-helical elements and three loops (D, anti-codon, and T loops).
Source: RNAcentral
GGAAGGGUGGCCGAGUGGUUGAAGGCGCCGCUCUCGAAAAGCGGUGUGGUUAUAAGCCAUCGUGAGUUCGAAUCUCACCCCUUCCG